This is a non-coding RNA of Russula ochroleuca, 96 nucleotides long. NCBI's taxonomy places the organism in Eukaryota, Fungi, Basidiomycota, Agaricomycetes, Russulales, Russulaceae. The record is from the annotation of a GenBank genome assembly.
GGCGCUAUAGCCAAGUGGUUACGGCGACAGAUUAGAAUCAUAGAGUUGAUCAUCUGUUUCCCUUUGGGAGCGCAGGUUCGAAUCCUGCUGGCGUCG